UUGACCCUUGGGGUAUAAAAGCUUUGGAGCAGUGGGAGGCUCUUCCGACAGCCCCUCAGCACACUUCCCGUCUGUCCCGUUCGCAUGUUCGGCAUAAAAUAUGUUCGAAGUCAACUUUAUGACGUUUAACAAUUUCUUUAAGCUAACAUUUGUCGUUUUCGGUGAUGUGGACGUGUAUCGGUGACGUAAUUUUUGCCCUUAAUGGCUGCUUUCUCUCAUGUGAAAGGACAAGGACGUUUAUUGGACAAAGUAUGGACAGAAUUGUCUGGCAGGAUGGAAUAUACAGACAGGUGGGGAGGUGUUACUGAGAUAAACGUAGGUCUUUUGGGCCAUUUUAUCCGACUCGGUCACUUUUGUCCGAUAUUUUGGUAAUUCACUCCUUUUUUUGUGCCGUGAAGAGCCAAGAACACUCCAGUAUUGAUGGCAACCCUCUGCAUUUCUUUUCAUCCUCAUCUCUUUCUCAUCUGUCCACCCCUCCACCCCCUCUCUCUCUCUCUCUCUCUCUCUCUCUCUCUUUCCUCUCAUCCUCAAAUUCUCAAACGCUGAAUCAGCUGCUUGGGAAUGGACGCUCUCCCUGCCUCUUGGCUCCACACACAAGCUGCCUCUCCCUGGUUCUGUGGUGUCCUUCCCCGGUCCUGUUUGAGAUUCUGGUCUUGCCCUAAAAUGCUUUGCUAAAGCUGGUAAAAUGGAACCAAAUCAACUGUUUUAUGGAUUUGGUCCCCUUCAACCAGCUGUAGCUGUGCAUUGAUCACCCCGUAGAGCUGUGAUGAAGAAAGAGAGGUGUUCAAAAGCACAACGUACAAUAAUUGCUCUGUGUGGAUCUAAGUUACCAGUGCAGGACCGGCUGUUGAAUGAAUGUUCCUUUAAGCACUAAUAUCAUGAUUAAACACUCUUUGUCCUCUUAAAACCCAGGCGAGUAUUAUAUAUGUCAUGUCAUUUAUUAUUUAUGAGCUAUAAUUGUUGAUUAUGUAUUCAAGCAAGCCAAAUCACUAUCAUUGGAAAGAGGGCUCUGGGCUCUUUAUGGUCGCCCAUUGAUUUCUUGUCUCUCCGCUGAAAGAGUGAAGGCGUGGGGUGGAAGGAUGCAGGGAACGGGGAGGGGGGGUGUGUCAAGCUGUUGAAUAAGUAAAACAGUCGUUCCUUUUCUCUCCCUCUCUCUUUUCCUUCUACACUUGUCGUGAUUCUUAAUGCACAUGGUUGAUCAAUAAAAGCUCAUCCUGAAGUUCAUAAA
This is a long non-coding RNA of Rhinichthys klamathensis goyatoka, 1228 nucleotides long. RefSeq lists it as uncharacterized. The transcript is spliced from 3 exons. The record is from RefSeq and is a predicted model, not a curated record. Lineage: Eukaryota; Metazoa; Chordata; Actinopteri; Cypriniformes; Leuciscidae.